GCCGGUGUAGUUCAAUAUAGAACAACCAUACAUCAUGCACGUGAAUGAGUAUGGGAGAUGCAGGUUUGAAUCCUGCCAUCGGCA
This 84-nucleotide transfer RNA is filed under the name Bacteroidaceae bacterium. RNAcentral describes it as "tRNA-OTHER". It matches the Rfam family "tRNA". Rfam says of the family: Transfer RNA (tRNA) molecules are approximately 80 nucleotides in length. Their secondary structure includes four short double-helical elements and three loops (D, anti-codon, and T loops). Lineage: Bacteria; Pseudomonadati; Bacteroidota; Bacteroidia; Bacteroidales; Bacteroidaceae. The record is from RNAcentral.